AACGAACGCUGGCGGCGUGGCUAAGGCAUGCAAGUCGAACGGAUCUAUCCAACGGGUAACUGAAGGGUAGAUUAGUGGCGAACGGGUGAGGAAUACAUGGACAACGUACCCUGGACACGGGGAGUAGCGGCGGGCCGCAAGGCUCUUUAGCGAAAGUGCCGGUAAUACCCGAUGAUCCCGCAUGGUCGCAUGAUCGUGUGGGCAAAGCUCCGACGGUCUGGGAUCGGUUCAUGCCCUAUCAGCUAGUUGGUGAGGUAACGGCUCACCAAGGCGGCGACGGGUACCGGGCGUGAGAGCGUGACCCGGCACAUCGGAACUGAGAUACGGUCCGGACACCUACGGGUGGCUGCAGCAACGAAUAUUCCGCAAUGGACGAAAGUCUGACG
Molecule: ribosomal RNA, 386 nt
Filed under: uncultured bacterium
Lineage: Bacteria
Description: partial 16S ribosomal RNA
Rfam family: Bacterial small subunit ribosomal RNA
Source: RNAcentral